Molecule: ribosomal RNA, 884 nt
Filed under: uncultured eukaryote
Lineage: Eukaryota
Description: SSU rRNA
Rfam family: Eukaryotic small subunit ribosomal RNA
Source: RNAcentral
GUGCCAGCAGCCGCGGUAAUUCCAGCUCCAAUAGCGUAUAUUAAAGUUGUUGCAGUUAAAAAGCUCGUAGUCGGAUUUCGGGUCGGGCCGAGCGGUCUGCCGAUGGGUAUGCACUGUUUGGCGCGGCCUUCUUUCCGGAGACCGCGGCUACUCUUAACUGAGCGGGCGUGGGAGACGGAUCGUUUACUUUGAAAAAAUCAGAGUGUUUCUAGCAGGCAGCUCGCUCUUGCAUAGGUUAGCAUGGGGUAAUUUAAUAGGACUCUGGUGCUAUUUUGUUGGUUUCGAACACCGGAGUAAUGAUUAAAAGGGGCAGUCAGGGGCACUCGUAUUCCGUCGAGAGAGGUGAAAUUCUCAGACCAAUGGAAGACGAACCACUGCGAAAGCAUUUGCCAGGGAUGUUUUCACUGAUCAAGAACGAAAGUUAGGGGAUCGAAGACGAUCAGAUACCGUCGUAGUCUUAACCAUAAACCAUGCCGACUAGGGAUUGGAGGGUGUUCGUUUCGACCUCUUCAGCACCUUACGGGAAACUAAAGUCUUUGGGUUCCGGGGGGAGUAUGGUCGCAAGGCUGAAACUUAAAGGAAUUGACGGAAGGGCACCACCAGGAGUGGAGCCUGCGGCUUAAUUUGACUCAACACGGGGAAACUUACCAGGUCCAGACAUUGUUAGGAUUGACAGAUUGAGAGCUCUUUCUUGAUUCGAUGGGUGGUGGUGCAUGGCCGUUCUUAGUUGGUGGAGUGAUUUGUCUGGUUAAUUCCGUUAACGAACGAGACCGUAGCCUGCUAAAUAGUUCCGCGAACUUCUUGUUGGCGGUCGACUUCUUAGAGGGACAACUUGUGACCAACAAGUGGAAGUUUGCGGCAAUAACAGGUCUGUGAUGCCCAAG